UGAACGCUAGCUACAGGCUUAACACAUGCAAGUCGAGGGGCAGCAUGGUCUUAGCUUGCUAAGGCCGAUGGCGACCGGCGCACGGGCGAGUAACACGUAUCCAACCUGCCGUCUACUCUUGGACAGCCUUCUGAAAGGAAGAUUAAUACAAGAUGGCAUCAUGAGUCCGCAUGUUCACAUGAUUAAAGGUGUUCCGGUAGACGAUGGGGAUGCGUUCCAUUAGAUAGUAGGCGGGGUAACGGCCCACCUAGUCUUCGAUGGAUAGGGGUUCUGAGAGGAAGGUCCCCCACAUUGGAACUGAGACACGGUCCAAACUCCUACGGGAGGCAGCAGUGAGGAAUAUUGGUCAAUGGGCGAGAGCCUGAACCAGCCAAGUAGCGUGAAGGAUGACUGCCCUAUGGGUUGUAAACCUCUUUUAUAAAGGAAUAAAGUCGGGUAUGCAUACCCGUUUGCAUGUACUUUAUGAAUAAGGAUCGGCUAACUCCGUGCCAGCAGCCGCGGUAAUACGGAGGAUCCGAGCGUUAUCCGGAUUUAUUGGGUUUAAAGGGAGCGUAGAUGGAUGUUUAAGUCAGUUGUGAAAGUUUGCGGCUCAACCGUAAAAUUGCAGUUGAUACUGGAUAUCUUGAGUGCAGUUGAGGCAGGCGGAAUUCGUGGUGUAGCGGUGAAAUGCUUAGAUAUCACGAAGAACUCCGAUUGCGAAGGCAGCCUGCUAAGCUGCAACUGACAUUGAGGCUCGAAAGUGUGGGUAUCAAACAGGAUUAGAUACCCUGGUAGUCCACACGGUAAACGAUGAAUACUCGCUGUUUGCGAUAUACGGCAAGCGGCCAAGCGAAAGCGUUAAGUAUUCCACCCUGGGGAGUACGCCAGCAACGGUGAAACUCAAAGGAAA
Molecule: ribosomal RNA, 889 nt
Filed under: uncultured organism
Description: SSU rRNA
Rfam family: Bacterial small subunit ribosomal RNA
Source: RNAcentral